GUUUCUCCAGUCAUAGGGGCUCAUCUGUGACCUGUCUCGCUUCUUUCUUCCAAACAGUUUUCCUUCCACCAUAGUCUUGUCAGGUUGCAAGACAAAAGCUAAAGCAUAGCUAAGGGAAGACACGCAACGAUCUGCCAGACUAGAAGCCCACCCUGUCUCCCACAAAACUUACCAUUUGGUCCUUCCAAAUGUCCCUUGAUGCAUACGUUCUGGGGGCAGAAAAGAGCCUGCAUUGCCUCAUCUCAGGCCUGUGCCUGUGUCCAUGGGAUGCUGAAUUGCAGACAGGUGGCUCUGGGAACAUGUGCUGCACAGACAAACACAAGAAAUGUGGAAUGCCUUUAGAGAGGCUGCUUGUUGAGAGACAUCAUUAGCUUCGAGCUGUCUGCUCGUCCCCCGGAGUGGGUGGAACAAGGUGAGAAAAUAUGUGGGGAAAUAAAAAAGCCAAGGGAAGGGAAGGGCUGGUUGUCGAAGGCGAGUAUCUUGGGCUGGGAAAUUGAGACUUGUUUCAGGAGUGUGGCAUAGAAUUUUAAGUAGCACAGUGGAUACAAGCGAAGAAAAGCAAAAGAAAACAGCAACAUGCUAGAGCACCAGGAAGAGCUAGCUGUAACACUGGGCAAUGCUGGUUAAAAAAGGAGACAGAAGCCACUAAAAGCAAGGGACCGUUUACCCAGGCAGAAAACAAAACAGCCAAGGUUUAUGCUUGUUUAUGAUUAUUUUCUUUUUUCAGUACCUAAAUACAACUGUAAAAUGGCAUUAUGAAGUUAUUACCAGGAACAUGGUACUACAUGAGCUGGUUUCUUUCAUGUGAAAGGCUCUUCCUAGAAAUCAAGUGCAUGAGGUUCCAAAUUCCAGCUAUGGUUCAAAGAAUGCAGACUUGGGUCACUGCAAGCCUACAAAGCCAUAGGUAGUUCUGAACAUGUGAUCAUCAGACAUUCAUGUGCAAGUCUGAAUGGAGACAGUGAUCUGUUUAGCAGUGUGCUCUUAAAAAGUUUUAUUGAAUCGGGCUCCAUUUUUUUCCCCAUAAAAUGUCUACAUUCUUUGCCCCACUGUGACUUCAAGACGGUGAUGUAAAGGUGUAGCAGAAAUGCUAAUUCACAGUUUGAAACAGUGAUUGAGCACCUGGUGGGGAGGCAGGACCAACCCAGGGGAGCUCAGGUGCAUGCAAUGAAAUGCAUCUGAGUGAUUGGAAAGGGUGGAGCCAGGAUCCACCCCUUCCCAGACCUCAUUUAAGGGCUGGCAGUGGAGGUGAGGGUAUCUCACUGGAUAUCCCUGCCUACUGGAAAUCUUCCAAAGCAAGCUAAAUUCUGAAGGAUUUGAACACCCAUAACUUUGUCUGAAGUCAGUGAAAGCUGCGGAUACUGAAGAUUGCUGAGAUGUUAGGAAGAGAACAGUGGGAGAGAGAAGCAAAAUUCUAAAAGGGAAAAGAAAAAAGAAAAAACGCACAACGCUGUAUAUAAAAAGAGAUUAGUUGGUUUAUAAUAUGAAAAUUCCACUGUUGUAAAAGAAUCAGAAGAGAAACAGAAUCCUAUCAGCAAAGAAAAUUGACCAUGAAGACAGGAGCAGACCUCUAUCCUACAAACUUCCCCUCGCUUUUAACGAUGUCCUUUGUCUCUUUCUGCUAAUAUAGGACAAAUCUUGUCUUACAGCUUUCAAGAAAUCUGAAAUUAAUGUAAAAGUCAUGUCUGGGUAAGGAAGUGAGAGAUCAAACCCGGUAGGAUGAUGCAACAGCUGCGCAGCCCAGCAUCUGUUCAGUAACAAAUGUUUUUUUAUUGCACUUUGGUUUUGUUUUUUUUUUUUUAAGCCCUUGUUUGAGGUUCAAGUAUUGUUCACAACAACAGCAAACUACUUCAAUCCUCAAGAAUAACAAAAACGACCCUAAGUAAGGGGGAGAUUGCCAUGUCUGACCAAGUGCUGGAGCUGCUUCCCUGCGCAUCAGCACCGCGGACAGAGGCCCCACCUGCUGCGCUUGCCCUCAUUGCCUUGUGCAAAAAUCGUUGGCCAAUAUCUCUUUUCAAGUGACGGAAGUGGGAUGGUUAAAAACUUAUAACAGCUAAUCUAAGAGAACAAUAAUUCCCAGAGUUAAACCCUCUAACCCAUUUUUUUUUCCCACAUUAUUUUUCCACCUAUGAAGUCGACGUCUCUUAGCUGGAGUGUGAAACGUUAUCUUCUAGUCUAUUGGGACAGCCUGGCAUAUGGAGAGUGACUGUACUGUUAGGAGUGCAGAAAUUGAGCAUUUAUUUUAGUGGCAGGAUCAUGUGAUUUUUCUUUGCCUAUCAGCUAAAUUUACUGUUUCUAAAGCACAGGGAGACAAAUUUAUUGGAAAAUUCAAAGCAAGGGGCAUAAAAAAAAUACUGUGGACCCUGGAAAUCAUUUCAAGAUCAAUCUAUAAAAAAAAGUUGCAUUACUAUGUAAUGAAGAACUGUCAGAAAAGAGUCAGCUGAAGAUGAAAAGCCAUGUACAAAAGAGUAAGCAUCAACAGCCAAGGCUCUGUAUGGAAGUGCAGUCAUAUCUCGCAUUUAAAAAAAAAAAAAAAGAAAAGGUUCUUCAGUAUUCAGAUUUCUCAGCUGGCAUUCUUGGGAUUUCAUCUGUUUCUUACAGAUCAUAUUGUAGAGGAUGAGACUUAAAUUUAGGGCUGAACAUCUCCCGAGCCUCAUCAUCUUCACGAGAAUUUAUUUUAAAGGGCCAUGAAGGUCCAUUCUAUCCCUAAAAAACAUACACUGAUAAAGACAGGACAGAAGGGUGCGGGGAGGUAUUCCUCCCUCCCUAACAUAUACAUCUUCCUGUUACCAGUUUCCUCUGUACUCCUUCCUCUAUGCACUCCCCUGCAGUGAUUGGCAGUCAUGACUACAGGACAUCCAGACUGAGACAUGACUGAGACACAGUGCCUCAGAACUUGGGAGUAGCAAUAUCGAAAACAGUGAAUUGUGGUCAGAUGUCUGAUGCUUAUGGCCAUCCAGAAGUCAGGGGACUGUAGAAGAUGAUUUAAUAAUGAGCUCAGAGAGCUAAUGGUGGUGAAGGAAGGGAGCAAGGAAGUCUGCUGGAAUGCAUGGAAAGGAAGGAAAUGGUCCAGGAUUUGACUCUCAGUGAGAGGUCAGAAAAUAAUAGUGUAUUAAAAGUCAGAGGUGGAGGGGGAGCUGAGGCAGAAGAGAUGAGGGAUGGCUGUGAGGAAGCAGUCACUGCAAAGUGAUGCAUGUUCACCUGAAGGGGUCCUGAAGACUUGGAGAAACUUUUCUGGGCUUCUCUCAGACCCGUCUUCUCUGCAAGUUACUACCAUUUUCACUGUUUAUUCUUCUGACAGCUUUUCUCUCAGCAUAAACAGGCUGUCUUGUCUUG
Molecule: long non-coding RNA, 3333 nt
Filed under: Gallus gallus (chicken)
Lineage: Eukaryota; Metazoa; Chordata; Aves; Galliformes; Phasianidae
Description: lncRNA (ENSGALG00010020669.1)
Source: RNAcentral